GGAAUAAGCACCCCCUUUCCCUGCCCUUCAUAGCAGCUGGAAGGGGACAGUUCAACCCUCUCCAUCUAUUCUCUUGCAGACAGAUCCUCUGCUGCUGGUAGAGGAUGGGCAAGCAUGUCUCUGGAUCCCAGAGGAGGUCUCUCCCUAGCCUGACUGGCAUAGUCGAUCAGAGAUGCCCAGCACAGAUCCAGCCCUCUUCUGCCUUUGAAGUGCAGUCACCUUCCCAGCCUUGGAUGCUGCUUUUGCAACCUUGGGUGCAACCCUGGCUCUGUGGGGUGAGACAUGCAGGGCAAGAACAUCUUUGGGGUACCUGACGUGCUCAGCAUUCCUCCUCCUCUCCGGAACCUGGUGAUGAGCCAGCACAGCUAAUGGCUCGGAGGCUGGGCAGUGAGGCAUCAAGAGGUGUGCUAGCCCCGUACCAAGCAAUCCCAGGGAUGCUGGUGGGAUACUGGCAGCAGAACAUUGCUCCCUCCGGUGGUAAUGAGCAGGGACAGAGGAGGUGAUCUGUAUAGCAGCUGGUCAAAAAGCAGAUGCCAGUGCCAUGCAUUUCCUACAGCCAAAGGGCCUUUCAUGCCUGUGAAAGCAAAAGAGAUGCAACCUGCAUGGAAAGUGUCUGUCUGGGCACCAGCCAACCCGUCCUGGUGUCAGCCCUCCCUGUCUGGCGGGGAGCAGUGAGGAGGGCUCAGCCUACCUAUUCUGCCACUGGGAAACUGGGGUCAAGCUUUGGACUCUGGCCUUGAGUGGGUCUGAGCGUCCCCAUCCCCUCCCCACUUUCCUGGCCCAGAGAGGAUCCUACCUUAUCUGUUACACUUUGUUCUCCUGCUGUCUGGGUGUGGAGCAGGGCAGAGAUUAGUGUGUUCAGACCUUUGACACACACACACACACACACACAUGCACACACACACACAACCAGCCAUGCAUGCACCCGCAGCCACGCUCAUCUGCACACUGCUGCACGCACAGUCCCUACGCACGUCAUCCUGCUCACACUCAGCUGCACUUGUGGGCCCACACUGUGCCCCCUGCAGCACCCCCUCCGGGGCACAUACGCUUUUCCCCAUCCCUGUGAGUGU
RNAcentral lists this long non-coding RNA (1073 nucleotides) under Cyanistes caeruleus (blue tit). RNAcentral's name for it is "lncRNA (ENSCCEG00000005771.1)". The record is from RNAcentral. Lineage: Eukaryota; Metazoa; Chordata; Aves; Passeriformes; Paridae.